ACCCUAGAGGAAAAGGUUAAAGAUUUUUCUAUUGCUAACUUAAAAUCUAGAAAGGUGAAUCUUCAUAAUAGUUGUAGAUUUAAUUUGCCCCUUCAUUGUUGUCGUCAUAUUAGACUUUUUAUAUUUUUCUAAAGAAGAAUGCCGGUAGCAUAUGCAAUGCUUCCACGUGUUAUGUUAAAUAUAGAUGCAUCCCAUUCCCUUAUCUGAAGUCGACCAAUUAAUAUGGUGCC
Molecule: long non-coding RNA, 230 nt
Filed under: Elaeis guineensis (African oil palm)
Lineage: Eukaryota; Viridiplantae; Streptophyta; Magnoliopsida; Arecales; Arecaceae
Description: long non-coding RNA (EGUI_LNC023979)
Source: RNAcentral